Molecule: ribosomal RNA, 253 nt
Filed under: uncultured bacterium
Lineage: Bacteria
Description: partial 16S ribosomal RNA
Rfam family: Bacterial small subunit ribosomal RNA
Source: RNAcentral
UACGUAGGGGGCAAGCGUUGUCCGGAUUUAUUGGGCGUAAAGAACGUGUAGGUGGCCAAGCAGGUCAGCUGUGAAAACUCGAGGCUCAACCUCGAGACGUCGGUUGAAACCGCUUGGCUAGAGUCCGGAAGAGGAGAGUGGAAUUCCCGGUGUAGCGGUGAAAUGCGCAGAUAUCGGGAAGAACACCCGUGGCGAAGGCGGCUCUCUGGGACGGUACUGACGCUGAGACGCGAAAGCGUGGGGAGCGAACAGG